Molecule: ribosomal RNA, 158 nt
Filed under: Purpureocillium lilacinum
Lineage: Eukaryota; Fungi; Ascomycota; Sordariomycetes; Hypocreales; Ophiocordycipitaceae
Description: 5.8S ribosomal RNA
Rfam family: 5.8S ribosomal RNA (bases 28-158)
About the family: 5.8S ribosomal RNA (5.8S rRNA) is a component of the large subunit of the eukaryotic ribosome. It is transcribed by RNA polymerase I as part of the 45S precursor that also contains 18S and 28S rRNA.
Source: RNAcentral
UUGCACAAGCAAAAACAAAUGAAUCAAAACUUUCAACAACGGAUCUCUUGGUUCUGGCAUCGAUGAAGAACGCAGCGAAAUGCGAUAAGUAAUGUGAAUUGCAGAAUUCAGUGAAUCAUCGAAUCUUUGAACGCACAUUGCGCCCGCCAGCAUUCUGG